This 498-nucleotide ribosomal RNA is filed under the name uncultured bacterium. RNAcentral describes it as "partial 16S ribosomal RNA". It matches the Rfam family "Bacterial small subunit ribosomal RNA", at positions 27 to 507 of the family's 1533-position model. The record is from RNAcentral.
GGAUGAACGCUGGCGGCGUGCCCAAUCCAUGCAAGUCGAGCGAACAGACGAGGAGCUUGCUCCUCUGACGUUAGCGGCGGACGGGUGAGUAACACGUGGAUAACCUACCUAUAAGACUGGGAUAACUUCGGGAAACCGGAGCUAAUACCGGAUAAUAUAUUGAACCGCAUGGUUCAAUAGUGAAAGACGGUUUUGCUGUCACUUAUAGAUGGAUCCGCGCCGCAUUAGCUAGUUGGUAAGGUAACGGCUUACCAAGGCAACGAUGCGUAGCCGACCUGAGAGGGUGAUCGGCCACACUGGAACUGAGACACGGUCCAGACUCCUACGGGAGGCAGCAGUAGGGAAUCUUCCGCAAUGGGCGAAAGCUUGACGGAGCAACGCCGCGUGAGUGAUGAAGGUCUUCGGAUCGUAAAACUCUGUUAUUAGGGAAGAACAAAUGUGUAAGUAACUAUGCACGUCUUGACGGUACCUAAUCAGAAAGCCACGGCUAACUACGUG